AAAUCUAAAGCUAAAAUAAAAAACGAAAUCAACUCGCCAACCAAAUCACCGUGAGACAGCUUCACCUCGCCAGCCAAAUCACCGUGAGACAGCUUCACCUCGCCAGCCACCGCGCAAUCGAAAAAGCUUUGCUCGCCAGCCACCGCGCGACAGCUUCUGAUCUGCUCACCAGCCACCACGCGACGGCUUCUGGUCUGCUCGCCAACCACUGCACAUCAUUUUCUGCUCUGCUCGCGCAGCCAGCCACCGUGCACCAGUAGGAGUAAUGUUGAUGCGAGAUUCCGGUUCUCCUCGUUCCACGACCAGGAUCUCUGCUCGAUCAACUUCACCACGACCAGGAGGUCUCCUAGUAAUGCUUCUUCUCCGGAUGUCCCUGCACAAACAGACAAGUCAGAGUACGCCGGUUGUUCCCCCGGCGCAAACCCUCCGACGCUCAAGUCAGAUAUGAAGGUUCAGGGAACGCUUGCCACAGGUCUUAUGGCUUUUUCGUGGUUUUUUUCUUCUAUCUCAAAAAUGCCAACCCUUUUACCUUCGUUGGCUACCUUUUUAUAGGCUUCCUCUGAAUCUCAGUCUUCCGCCCUUUUCCAGACGGUAUGGGACUCCAACUGCUGCGUUAUGGGCAAACGUGGGAUCUAGCGUGUUACGCCACGGUUCAGGGGAAAGCGUGGCUGUCAUGGCUCUGUGAGACUUUGCGUGUUACGCCACGGUUCUGGGGAAAGCGUGGCUGUUGUGCCUAGAUUCUCGUGCUGGAGAGCACGUCUUGCCAACUGCCGUCGACCGGGUCUCCUCGCCUCUUGACCUCUAGCCGUAAUGGCCUUAUGCCUUUUAUAGGGAAUUGGCCUCGCGGAUGACAACAUCGUGGACGAGCAGGAUAUUUCUGCUCCUGUUCUUCCGCGCACCAGGCUUUUACGGAACACACCGGUUCGCAGAACUCUGCCAUCAGAUAUCUGCUCGUCAUUCCUGGUCUCGUCGACGUAUUUAUCCCAAACAGUGAGCCGAGCAGCAUCGGUCGGCUGGACCUCCUCGGGUGCAGGGGGGGUAUCACCAGUUGCGUCCGGGGGGGUGCUCGCCUCGCCAACAUCAGCAGGGACUGCACGAGGAGGAGAGUUUUCCUCCUCGAUCACGAUCGGCUCUACCCCCUCGGUAUCUUCCUUGGCCGCCUCCUCAUCCAUAUGCUGAGCAACACCAGCUGCAAGGUCAUCCAUCUUCAGGUCAGGGUGUUGCUUCCCGAGGACGGCCAUGAUGCAACGAUAGGAAUGCCGAAGUCCCUGGUCGUACUGGUUGUCGGCCUCCCUCUCCAAGUUCUCGACCUGAGCUCGGUGGUUCUCGAUCUGAGCUCGGUGGGAGUCGCGGAGAGAUUCGAGCUGAGCCUCAUACAUAGCCUUCUGCCUUUGCAGAUCCUCCUUGACCUUGGUAAGCUCCUCCUCAAGGGUAAUGGCUUUUGCUUGAGCAAGUGAUUCUUGCUCUAUCAGCUUCAGGUUCUCGAGAUUCAGCUCCCCUGCUUUCUUCUCGGCAGCGUCAGCUCUGGUCGUCGCCGACUGAAUGUCCCCCUUCAUCUUCCGGUCGUAGCGGCCCACCUUAGCCUUGUAAUAGGUGGUCAUGCAGCUGAGGUGGAAGGCGCUAUGCUGAAUGGCCCCCACCAGCUCACCCAAGGUGCGGCCAUCAAAGUCCUCCAGCUCCUCCUUGCUCACGAGUUUAGCUAACUCAUUGAGGUAAGGGACCAGAGGUUCUGCUCGGCUGUCAGGUAAGCGAGAUCGAGGCCGACAGGAGGAGAAGAGGUAGCGGGAUCUGUGGCUGCUCCACUAGCUUCCCCAACUUUUACAGGAGCAGGAGGUAAAAUAUUCAAGGGUAGGGCCUGCUGCACGAUGUUGGCCCGCUUUGCAGUAGGGGCAUCCUUACUCUCGUCCCUCUUCGUGGUUGGAGGUCGAGAACGUUUUCGGGUCAGAGCCGCCAUCACAGCGUCCUCCAUCCUAUGGCCAGGAAGUAUCAAGCGAGACUCGAGCAAGUUGUAUGUACUUAACAGUUCCCGGCUCGAGCAGGAAUUGGCCAGUACCGCCUCGACCCGUUUGAGCUGGUCAGGUCCGAGCGGGAAGUGGACACCCCAAGAAACUACAACACAAACAAGACACUUGGUUAGAAACAAGCCAAUAAAACAAGAACAAGUAUGGAUACAAGGCAUCUGAAGCAAGCAGGCAACCUGGGACCGUGAAACGGGGUGGGACCCGAUAAUCCCUCCCGUCCAUUUGUGCGACCUGACCCCACGGACCCCCAGCAAAAAAGAACUUUCUCUUCCAAUUCCCGCCACCACCAGUAGGGAGGUCGGUUAUAGGUUUCCUGCUCUUGGUGCUAGAUUGGAAGUAGUACCAGCCGGCAUCUUUGGGGCUGCUCUUUAGCUGGUACAUGUGCUUCACCUCAUCAACCGUGGGCUCGCUUUGGCAACAUCUGUCCCACAAAAUGAACAGACCAGAGAGCACUCUCCACCCAUUGGGAUUCAGCUGACCAGGAGCCAGAUUUAGCCCGUUAAGUAUCCGGGCAAAGUAAGGUUGCAAGGGACACCUCAGCCCGUACUUAAAGCUGUCCAGAUACAGGGUAACAUAUCCCCUAGGAGGGCGGCUGGGAGCAUCCUUCUUUCCUGGGACCUUGAGAAGUAUUUCACCAGGGAUGCUAUACCUCAGCCGGAGGUCCUCGAGCUCAUCAAACGUGGUCGUGCACGUCAUGUAAUCAAUAGCGUAGUCCCGCGAUAGGGCUCUACCUCCUAUUCUACUCCUCCCUUCUAGUCGCGGCGCUCCUGAUGGGGACGCCUCACCAGAAUCAUCCCCUUGACCCUCACUCAAGGUGUUCUCCGAUCCAGAAGAUCCUUCUUCAUCGCUACUGUCGCUCGAGGAGGUUGUUUGGGGAGACAUCCUCCUAGCGCUAGUACCAACACUAGACCUAAUGGGCUCUAAGGGGAUCCCGGGGUCAAAAGCGGGAUCAGCGAGCAGACUAGGUAGGAAGUCCAACUCGUCGUCAUCAACCUCAAUGACCUUCUCUUUGCCUUUCGACAUUCCCUAAACUCUAACCACAACGCCACCAACUACUACCCAAACGAAAGAAAAAAGAAGUUAUCUAUAAACUAUCCGAGACCGAGGAGAGAGAAGUAAUACCUGAAGCACUGCUCCAAUCGGAGAAAGGCAAGGAUGGGGCCUUUGCGCCGGAACUUCUUUGCCGGAGAAACAGAGACGGAGACGGAGUGAAUGGUGAAUAUGCCGUUCGAGAGGAUUCGGCUUUCCAAAUGAGGACGGACUCUUGGGUUGCCAGCAUAUAACUGCGCCGAAUCCCGAGGAAUCUCGUAACCGUCGGUUUGAAAUUCAAAUGGAGGGCGGGAUUUCUGCCACGUCACCUCGUCCGCAAUUAAAUGCGACAUGACUCUUGGCAGCCUUUUCCAAUCCCACGCGAGCGAGUACUAUCGAGUUUCUACUGCUGGUCCACUACAUUACCCAACACCAGAAACUGGGGGACCGAUGUUUGGGAGAGAUACUGUUUGGGAUAAAUACGUCGACGAGACCAGGAAUGACGAGCAGAUAUCUGAUGGCGGAGUUCUGCGAACCGGUGUGUUCCGUAAAAGCCUGGUGCGCGGAAGAACAGGAGCAGAAAUAUCCUGCUCGUCCACGAUGUUGUCAUCCGCGAGGCCAAUUCCCUAUAAAAGGCAUAAGGCCAUUCCGGCUAGAGGUCAAGAGGCGAGGAGACCCGGUCGACGGCAGUUGGCAAGACGUGCUCUCCAGCACGAGAAUCUAGGCACAACAGCCACGCUUUCCCCAGAACCGUGGCGUAACACGCAAGAUCUCACAGAACCAUGACAGCCACGCUUUCCCCAGAACCGUGGCGUAACACGCAAAGUCUCACAGAGCCAUGACAGCCACGCUUUCCCCUGAACCGUGGCGUAACACGCUAGAUCCCACGUUUGCCCAUAACGCAGCAGUUGGAGUCCCAUACCGUCUGGAAAAGGGCGGAAGACUGAGAUUCAGAGGAAGCCUAUAAAAAGGUAGCCAACGAAGGUAAAAGGGUUGGCAUUUUUGAGAUAGAAGAAAAAAACCACGAAAAAGCCAUAAGACCUGUGGCAAGCGUUCCCUGAACCUUCAUAUCUGACUUGAGCGUCGGAGGGUUUGCGCCGGGGGAACAACCGGCGUACUCUGACUUGUCUGUUUGUGCAGGGACAUCCGGAGAAGAAGCAUUACUAGGAGACCUCCUGGUCGUGGUGAAGUUGAUCGAGCAGAGAUCCUGGUCGUGGAACGAGGAGAACCGGAAUCUCGCAUCAACAAGUAAAGUCCUCGUUACUCCAUACACUUUAUUAUAACAUUUGCAUAAAUUGCAUUUAGUAAUGCAUUUAGUAAGUCCCCGUUAAAUGACUGUUAUUGCUUUAAUUUUUUAUAUAAUUUUUUUAAGUGAAAACACUUUUACAACAUGAUUAGAAUUAAAUAUUUUCAUAAAUCCAAAUCUAAUCCACUAGGAAAGAUAAUAACAAUUAAGAAUAUUAAGUUCCAUAAUAUGACUAUAUUUAGAUUUUAUUUUGAUAUUAUGAUUGUUAUAAUUUUGUAAGAUGGAGGUCAGUGUUGGUGAAGUACAAAAGGCUAAUAAUGAAGUGCAAAUGACAGUUGAUUAAUGUUGCUGACCAGUAAGUUUUCUUUAUUUUUUUAAAAAACUAAUAUCUUAUUUAUAUAGAUUGUUUAUUUAAUUAUUUAUUGUUUUAAUUUUUUUUUAUAAAUCCAAAUAUUGAGUUGGAAAAUGCCUAAAGUUAUGUUGAUAUUGAUGAAGAUGAGAGAAUGUUGUUGGCAUUUGUUUGUAAUUUUUUUUUUUUUUUUGUGAAGAUGGGAGAAUGUUGUUGGCGUUUGUUUCUAAAUUUUCUUUUUAUUUUGUGUUGUAAGUUGUAAUUGUUGUUAUUUUUAUUUAUCUUUACAACAUUAUGAUUAUGUUUAUGUAGAUGGA
This 4962-nucleotide long non-coding RNA is filed under the name Citrus maxima (pomelo). RNAcentral describes it as "long non-coding RNA (CMAX_LNC001687)". Lineage: Eukaryota; Viridiplantae; Streptophyta; Magnoliopsida; Sapindales; Rutaceae. The record is from RNAcentral.